Molecule: microRNA, 23 nt
Filed under: Caenorhabditis remanei
Lineage: Eukaryota; Metazoa; Nematoda; Chromadorea; Rhabditida; Rhabditidae
Description: crm-miR-50-3p
Gene: crm-miR-50-3p
Source: miRBase by way of RNAcentral
ACCAAAGUAGCAGACGUAUCGAC